Molecule: transfer RNA, 67 nt
Filed under: Neotetracus sinensis (Shrew gymnure)
Lineage: Eukaryota; Metazoa; Chordata; Mammalia; Eulipotyphla; Erinaceidae
Description: tRNA-Trp
Source: RNAcentral
AGAAGUUUAGGAUAAUCAAGACCAAGAGCCUUCAAAGCUCUAAGUAAGUGAGAUCACUUAACUUCUG